This 468-nucleotide ribosomal RNA is filed under the name uncultured bacterium. RNAcentral describes it as "partial 16S ribosomal RNA". It matches the Rfam family "Bacterial small subunit ribosomal RNA", at positions 28 to 507 of the family's 1533-position model. The record is from RNAcentral.
GACGAACGCUGGCGGCGUGCUUAACACAUGCAAGUCGAACGGAAAGGCCCUGCUUUUGUGGGGUGCUCGAGUGGCGAACGGGUGAGUAGCACGUGAGUAACCUGCCCUUGACUUUGGGAUAACUUCAGGAAACUGGGGCUAAUACCGGAUAGGAGCUCCUGCUGCAUGGUGGGGGUUGGAAAGUUUCGUCGGUUGGGGAUGGACUCGCGGCUUAUCAGCUUGUUGGUGGGGUAGUGGCUUACCAAGGCUUUGACGGGUAGCCGGCCUGAGAGGGUGACCGGCCACAUUGGGACUGAGAUACGGCCCAGACUCCUACGGGAGGCAGCAGUGGGGAAUAUUGCACAAUGGGCGGAAGCCUGAUGCAGCAACGCCGCGUGCGGGAUGACGGCCUUCGGGUUGUAAACCGCUUUCGCCUGUGACGAAGCGUGAGUGACGGUAAUGGGUAAAGAAGCACCGGCUAACUACGUG